UGCGCGGAAGAUGUAACGGGGCUAAACCAUGCACCGAAGCUGCGGCAGCGACACUAUGUGUUGUUGGGUAGGGGAGCGUUCUGUAAGCCGUUGAAGGUGUCCUGUGAGGGGGGCUGGAGGUAUCAGAAGUGCGAAUGCUGACAUAAGUAACGAUAAAGCGGGUGAAAAGCCCGCUCGCCGGAAGACCAAGGGUUCCUGUCCAACGUUAAUCGGGGCAGGGUGA
This 223-nucleotide ribosomal RNA is filed under the name Enterobacter ludwigii. RNAcentral describes it as "partial 23S ribosomal RNA". It matches the Rfam family "Bacterial large subunit ribosomal RNA", at positions 1160 to 1382 of the family's 2925-position model. Lineage: Bacteria; Pseudomonadati; Pseudomonadota; Gammaproteobacteria; Enterobacterales; Enterobacteriaceae. The record is from RNAcentral.